This 972-nucleotide ribosomal RNA is filed under the name uncultured archaeon. RNAcentral describes it as "bacterial SSU rRNA". It matches the Rfam family "Archaeal small subunit ribosomal RNA", at positions 85 to 1058 of the family's 1478-position model. The record is from RNAcentral.
ACUGCUCAGUAACACGUGGACAACCUGCCCUUAGGUUGGGUAUAAACCCGGGAAACUGGGUAUAAUACCCGAUAGGUCUCGAUUGCUGGAAUGCAUCGAGAUUUAAAGCUCCGGCGCCUAAGGAUGGGUCUGCGGCCUAUCAGGUAGUAGUGGGUGUAGCGUACCUACUAGCCUACGACGGGUACGGGUUGUGAGAGCAAGAGCCCGGAGAUGGAUUCUGAGACACGAAUCCAGGCCCUACGGGGUGCAGCAGGCGCGAAAACUUUACAAUGCUGGCAACAGCGAUAAGGGAACCUCGAGUGCCAGGUUACAAAUCUGGCUGUCGAGAUGCCUAAAAAGCAUUUCAUAGCAAGGGCCGGGCAAGACCGGUGCCAGCCGCCGCGGUAACACCGGCGGCUCGAGUGGUAACCGUUAUUAUUGGGUCUAAAGGGUCUGUAGCCGGCCGGAUAAGUCUCUUGAGAAAUCUGGCAGCUUAACUGUCAGGCUUUCAGGAGAUACUGUCUGGCUCGAGGCCGGGAGAGGUGAGAGGUACUUCAGGGGUAGGGGUGAAAUCUUGUAAUCCUUGAAGGACCACCAGUGGCGAAGGCGUCUCACCAGAACGGACCUGACGGCAAGGGACGAAAGCUAGGGGCACGAACCGGAUUAGAUACCCGGGUAGUCCUAGCCGUAAACGAUACUCGCUAGGUGUCGGCCACGGUGCGACCGUUGUCGGUGCCGUAGGGAAGCCGUGAAGCGAGCCACCUGGGAAGUACGGCCGCAAGGCUGAAACUUAAAGGAAUUGGCGGGGGAGCACCACAACGGGUGGAGCUUGCGGUUUAAUUGGAUUCAACGCCGGAAAUCUUACCGGGACCGACAGCAAUAUGAAGGCCAGGCUGAAGACUUUGCCGGAUUAGCUGAGAGGUGGUGCAUGGCCGUCGUCAGUUCGUACUGUGAAGCAUCCUGUUAAGUCAGGCAACGAGCGAGACCCGUACC